AUACUGAUGCAUAUACUUUCAGACACUUUAAUGUGUUACUAUUUUGUUACCUGAUUUUUUUCCCACUUAAAAUACUUUUCCAUGUCAACAAGUACACAUUACCAUAUGAUUUUAACUGAAUCUACAUUUUAUGAUGUGAGUGUACCCUAACUUAACCAACCCCUUUUGCUGGAUCUUUAUAUUGUUACCAAUUUUCCCUUAUAUACUGUCAUAUGUACAUGAUCACCAUCUUUAUAUAUUAAUUUUCCUUCACAUUUUUAUAUUUCUUAGAUAAAAUACAUCUAAAAUUAUUUUCUUAUUUUAUAGAGGUAGAAUUACUGGAUCAAUGUUAAGAAAUAUUGGAAUUAUUUCCUAAAAUGUAGAUUUGGAAUUUUAGGUCAAAGUUUAAAUGUAUUAUCUUGACUUCUUAAACAUAUCACCAAUUACUGUCCCAAAGCUUUGACCAGUUUAUAUAUCCAUCAGGAGCUCAUCACACAUGAUGCAAUGUACUUAUCUACAAGAGUUUCUUUUUACAUAUUUUCCCAAUAUAACAAGUAAAAUAUAAAAUUAUUUCUCAUUGUCUUCCUUUUUGUGUUAGAAACAAGUCUUUUAAAAUGUUAUUAGCUGUUAGGUCUUUUUUUGUAUUAAGUAGGAUGUAUUUGUUACCUAUUACAACCUUAAAAUUAUCACACACUUAGCCACUUAACACAAAUUUAUGAUCUCAAUUCUGCAGGUCAGGCGUCUGGUGAGCUCAGCUGGUUCCUCUGGCCCAGGUUUCACAGGCUGAGAUCAAGUUGUUGGCAAGCUGGACUCUUAUCUGGAGGCUCUGAGAGGGAGGCUGUUUCCAAGCUCAUCCAGGCUGCUGACAGAAUUCAGUUAUUUGGGCUCAGGGCUGAGGUCUCUGUUUCCUUGCUGGCUGUCAGCCAGGAGCCUCUCUCAGCCUGAAUUCCUCACCACGUGGACCCUCCAUUUUCAAGCCAGCAACUUCCAGUUGAGUCUUCUUCAUGCUUUGAAUCUCUCUGAGUUCUGUUGCCUCUCUUCUGCCUCCAUCUGGAGAAAUUUCUCUGCUCUUAAGGGCUUGUGUGAUGUGAUUAAAUCCAACCGGAUAGGACAAUCCAGGCUAAUCUUUCUGUCUUAGGUCUGUAAACUUAAUUAUAUCUACAAAGUCCCUUUUGCCAGGUAAAGUAUAUUAGUUAGUAUUCUCUGGAUAAAUAAGCAAUGAGAUAUACAUCUAUGUCUAUCUCUAUUGAUGUAUAUCUCUGUGUAUGUAUUUAUAUAUGUAUGUAUGAAUGUAUGUAUCUAACAUUUGCCAAAGUCCUUAGAACCAGGGAAGCAGAUGGUAUAAAUUCCAGUUCUAUGGCCUCAAUCAGUGAGACAGAAAAAAGGAGCAAAUUCCUCUUUCCUCUGCCUUUUGUUUCAUUCCUGCCCUCAAUGGAUUGGAUGAUGCACACCCAUAUUGGAGAGGGGAAUCUACCUUAUUGAGCUCAUCCAUUCAAAUGCUAAUAUCAUCCAGGAAUACCCUCACAGACACAGAAAUAUUGUUUAAUUUGGACACACCAUGGCCAGUCAAGGUGAAAUAACCAUCAUGAGGUAAUGUAUUUAUUGGUUCCAGGGGCUAGGGUGUGAAACUUUGGAGGUCCAUUCUGCCUACCACACCAUACAAAGGCUUCACUAUUUGGUUUGCCUCGUGCCUGCCUCAAUUCUAGAGUAGGAAUAUGAUGUUUUCGUCUUUUGGAACAUCUGUAGUAAGAAUUAUUUACCACUUAUCUUAUUAAAUUAUAAAUAAACAUAUUCAAUCAUAGCAAAAUUAGAGUGAAGAGCCCAAAGAAAUCCAUCUAUCUAUUAUCCAACUUCAACAAUAAUCCAUAUUUGCCAGUUGUAAGACACCUAUUUGCUCAGACAGUGAUUUUUUCUUUUUUGUUUCAAUAUAUCCUUUGGUGGAAGAAAAUGUCUUAUUUGUGAGGACUAAUUAAGCUUCAUUUUGGCAGCGGCAGGGGGUGGGGGGAUUGUAGUAGUUUUAUAUAAUGCAAAUAACAGAAAACAUUUAAUUUUUCUUCCUUUUUUUUUUACUAGAAUAUAGUUGAUUUAUAGUGUUGUAUCAAUUUCUGCUGUAUAAUAUAGUGACCUAAUCAUACAUAUAUGUGUACAUUCUUUUUCUCAUACUAUCUUCCAUCAUGUUCUACCCCAAGGUACUGGAUAUGGUUCCCUGUGCUGUACAGUAGGACCUCAUUGCUUAUCCAUUCUAAAUGUAAUAGUUUGCAUCUACUGGACUUUCUGUUGUGGCUCAGAGGGUUAAGAACCCUACUAGUAACCAUGAGGAUGAAGGUUUGAUUCCUGGUUUUGCUCAGUGGGUUAAGAAUCUGGCAUUGCCACAAGCUCUGAUGUAGGUGGCAGAUGUGGCUCAGAUCCUGUGUUUCUAUGGCUGUGGUAGGCUGACAGCUGCAGCUCUGAUUUGACCCCUAGCUUGGGAACUUCCAUGUGCCCUAAAAAGAAAACCGUUUGCUCUACCAAAAGUAUGGCACAAAUGAAUCUAUUUACAAGAGAGAAACAGACUCAAGGACAUAGAGAACAGACUUGUGGUUCAUGGGGGAAGAGGUAGGAAAAUGUUGAUAUUUUAACAAAGUAAGAAGAAUACUAGUUCCUUCCUCUCAUUUGGUGGAUGGAAAAUAACUUUGGAGUAUUAAAGUCUUGUCUAAUUUACAUAAUUACCAUUAUGAUUCAUGGACAUUUUUUAUUAAUUGUCUCACAAUAUAGGAUUCCCUUAUUUCAUUCUUGUCUGUUACAUAAGGGAAAGCUGAAUGAAAGGGAAUGGGAGAGGUAGUAGCUCUUCUCGGAGAAUUUAAGAAAUAAAAACUCAGGUUGCACAACAUUUCUGCUCCCCUCGCUUUUCUCUUGAUGCCAAGCACUGGGUAUUUGCAGCGCAAGUUAUAAUAGAACUUAUUUAAGAAGAUAUUUUACUAUAAUAACAUGAAUCAUUGCCAUCAUUGGACAAUUUGGGGGUAUAAAUAGACAAAAAUCCAUGGAUAAUCCAAAAAUAACAUUUCCGCAUUUGCAAUGUGUUUUCAUAACGUAUUUAACUGAGCAUGUGCUGAUGUUCUGGGAAUUUAGUUGGAACAGAAUAAUAAAGUACAGCAUAAACUCUGGCUUCAGUCUGUGGACACCUGGCUCUGAGAGUGGUGGAAGAGAUUUCUCUUUCCAAGUGUUUUCCUAUGAAGUGGAAAAUCAUGCCCAACUGUUUUGUUGAAAAGAGCUCCUCUCUAUGCAAACAUUUUUUUUAGAUUAAACUACAUAUGAAACAUUGUUUAGAGAAUCAUCUUCCAAUUUAUCAUUUGUUACCAGACUGUAUUAUCUCUUAUUAUUUUUGUUUCCAGUUUUCGAGUGAUACAUUUCUUCUCUACAAAAUUGAACACUUAUGCUUUUAAUUCCCAGCUUUCCCAUCUCUUCCAGAACCAAGCUCCAUUAAGUAUCACUUCUUUUGCCUCCAUCCAUCUUUCUCACCUUUUCAAUCACUCUGAUUUCACCAUUGCUCACACAUAGGACUAACUACCAAGAAACACAGUCACUCAUUUCUUUUUUUUCCCUUUACCAAUUAACUUAAAUAUCCACAUCAUCUGCACCAAUGUGUUUUUAAAUUUGUUCAGAUUUAUUUUCUGUCCCCAUCAUGUUUACGUGGCAUUCUUCACAACCCCCAGCAAUUCCUUGAAUCUGAUGGCCAUUUUCUCAGUUGUCAUAUUCUUUUAAGGUUUUGUUUCAAUCAGCACCAUUAACCCACCCACCUGCCUGCCCUUUCUUUGCCAAAAUCUUACUUUCGUGUCUCUUUAGACAUUUUAUUACCUUGUUCUUACACUUCUCCUCCAACUACUCUCUUUUCUUUUUUCACAUGUGAUAUCAACUUAGAGGUAAUUGUCCCAGGAGCAUCUAUUUCUGGUUGUUUGCUUCCUUCUUUCUGUUUUGAGCUCUUCUCCUGGGUAAUCAAAUUCCAUGGCUUCAACUCUCCUUUCCAUGGAAAUGGCUUCUAAAUCGAUGUUUAUGCUUUUGAAUUUCCCCCUAAAGUUCAGUCUCAGUUUUCCAGUUUCUGGCUUGACAUUUCUGUCUGAAUAUUCUUCUAGCACAUUCUAUUUAAUCUAUUCAAAGAAAUUGCGCUUCUUGUCUUCCCUUUUCAAUCUGUUUCUGUCAUUGUUUCCCAUUUUUGUUACAACUACUACUUUGCCAUUUAGGCUCAACAUUUCGAGUUUAGUUUUUGUUCUCGUUGUGCCUCUCUCUUGUCAAAACAAAUGUUGAUAGGCCUGUUUGCGUCUAUACCCAUAAUGAGUGUCUGUCUCCUUCCAUAAUAAAUACAUUUAUGGAGUUCCCACUGUGGCUCAGUGGUAAUGAACCUGACUAGUAUGCAUGAAUAUGCCGGUUUGAUCCCUGGCCCUGCUAAGUGGAUUAAGGAUCUGGUGUUGCCAUUUGCUGUGGUGUAGGUUGCAGACUCAGCUCUGGUGUUGCUGUGGCUGCAGCAUAGGCCAGCAGCUGCAGCUCCAAUUAGACCCCUAGCCUGGAAACUUCCAUAUGCUAUGGGUGCGGUAUAUGGUUAAAAAAAAUGAAAUAAAUAAAUAAAUACCUACAUUUAAUCUCUCACUUCCAAUGCCCAUGACCUCUUUUAUAUUUCGGGACACUAUUAUCUUUGACUAGGAAUACAGAAAAAGCAUGUUAACUUUUCUCUCCUGUCUACUCUACCUGGUUAGCAUUCAAAAUCUUGCCAGUUUAAUCUCUCCUGAAUUUAGUUUUUAUGAUGUCACCAUCUACUUCAAAUUGUCAAUAACUUUCUUUUGUUAAAAGAGUAGUUGUAAGCUGGGGGUGCUUUUGCCCACUGGGGGUCAUUUGGCAAUAUCUGAAGACAUACUUCAUGCUCAUAAUAGGGCAGAAGGGUGCCUGGAAUGCUCUUAAACAUCCCACAAUACAAAGAUGGCUCACGACAGAAAAAAAAAAUGGUCCAAAAUGUCAAUUGUACUGGGGUCGAACAACCCUACUUUAGAGAAUAAUUUACAAAUAAUUAAUUUGACAUUCUUAUCUCAUCUACACUUCAUUUAUAACCCCAUGAGAUUUUUAUAAUUGUUCUUUCUUUUCCACCUCUGGGUCUUUGCUUGUACAUUUUCUUUCCUACUGAUGUUUUCUUUUCUUACAUUGUCCUCUC
Molecule: long non-coding RNA, 5155 nt
Filed under: Sus scrofa (pig)
Lineage: Eukaryota; Metazoa; Chordata; Mammalia; Artiodactyla; Suidae
Description: lncRNA (ENSSSCG00000060117.1)
Source: RNAcentral